RNA transcript from Oncorhynchus mykiss (rainbow trout), 1198 nucleotides. It is a transcript of the gene named proteasome activator complex subunit 3, with no coding region annotated. The record is from RefSeq and is a predicted model, not a curated record. Lineage: Eukaryota; Metazoa; Chordata; Actinopteri; Salmoniformes; Salmonidae.
CAUGUUGUCUCAUGUUGAAUACCUCAUUUUUAGACAACAAUUGUGGCUGACACGUUUAGUCCCAAAUUGAGGACAAUCGUAUUUCUGCCAUUUGUGGUUAAAGAAGAAUUCACUCCUCAAGGUGGACAAUGAACUUAAUCUUAAGGUCGAUGUUUUCAGACAACGAAUUACUGGGGAGGCGGAGAACCUAGUUGCAAGUUUUUUCCCAAAUAAGUUAUUGGAACUUGACCAUUUUCUCAAGGAUCCCAUUUUAAACAUCUGUGAACUUAAAGAGAUACACUCAGAAAUCAACUUGACAGUGCCAGACCCCAUUCUACUCACAAACCUCCACGAUGGACUUGAAGCGCAUAAUGCCAAAAAGAGGAAAAUGGAAGAUGGUACUGGGGAGGACAAGGUGGCUGGCACCAAGGUCUUUAUCAUGCCUAGUGGGAUGAUGAAGAGCAACACCAAGCUGGUGGACUUGAUCGAGAAGGUCAAGCCAGAGAUCAGGACACUCAUAGAGAAAUGUAACACGGUAAAAAUGUGGGUUCAGUUGCUUAUCCCAAGAAUAGAAGAUGGCAACAACUUUGGGGUUUCAAUUCAGGUCUCAUCUAAGUGUAUGCUACAUUGAACCAUGGCUCCACCACUGAUUUGGUGUCUGCAGGAGGAGACAGUAGCUGAACUCCGAACAGUGGAGGGGGAAGCAGCAUCGUACCUCGACCAGAUAUCUGGAUACUACAUCACAAGAGCAAAGCUAGUGUCCAAAAUAGCAAAAUACCCACAUGUGGAGGACUACCGGCGCACAGUGACUGAGAUUGAUGAGAAGAAAUACAUCAGCCUCAAGGUCAUAGUUUCAGAGCUGAGAAAUCAAUACGUAACGCUACACGACAUGAUCUUGAAGAACAUUGACAAGAUCAAGAAGCCUAGGAGCAGCAAUGCUGAAGCAUUGUACUGAGACUGACCCAGCCACCCCUCCCGUUCCCUUCUUCUGCCAGCUGUCAAAGUAGCGGAAGGACUAGAGCUAGACCAUCACUACCAGAUCAGUACAAUCCAGGAAACCAUGGUCCCGGUAUCUUUUCGUUUGAUUGGUAAAAUAUGGUCAUUGUUUUAAAAUCCUUCAAAGAGUAUGUUAUGAGGUCUCUCGACGAACCGUGAGCAAUGGCUCUGGGAAAAGAACGCUAUGUAUUUUUUAUUCAAUUAAAACCAUUUUGUCCAUGCA